GGAAUAUUGGACAAUGGGGGCAACCCUGAUCCAGCCAUGCCGCGUGUGUGAAGAAGGCCUUAGGGUUGUAAAACACUUUCAGCGGGGAAGAUAAUGACGGUACCCGCAGAAGAAGCCCCGGCUACCUUCGUGCCAGCAGCCGCGGUAAUACGAAGGGGGCUAGCGUUGCUCGGAAUCACUGGGCGUAAAGCGUACGUAGGCGGGUCUUUAAGUCAGGGGUGAAAUCCCGGAGCUCAACUCCGGAACUGCCUUUGAUACUGGAGAUCUUGAGUCCGGGAGAGGUGAGUGGAACUGCGAGUGUAGAGGUGAAAUUCGUAGAUAUUCGCAAGAACACCAGUGGCGAAGGCGGCUCACUGGCCCGGUACUGACGCUGAGGUGCGAAAGCGUGGGGAGCAAA
RNAcentral lists this ribosomal RNA (397 nucleotides) under uncultured bacterium. RNAcentral's name for it is "bacterial SSU rRNA". It matches the Rfam family "Bacterial small subunit ribosomal RNA", at positions 358 to 772 of the family's 1533-position model. The record is from RNAcentral.